Molecule: ribosomal RNA, 253 nt
Filed under: uncultured bacterium
Lineage: Bacteria
Description: partial 16S ribosomal RNA
Rfam family: Bacterial small subunit ribosomal RNA
Source: RNAcentral
UACAGAGGGGGCGAGCGUUGUUCGGAAUUACUGGGCGUAAAGGGCGCGUAGGCGGCCCGCUAAGUCGAACGUGAAAUCCCCAGGCUUAACCUGGGAACUGCGUCCGAUACUGGCAGGCUUGAAUCCGGGAGAGGGAUGUGGAAUUCCAGGUGUAGCGGUGAAAUGCGUAGAUAUCUGGAGGAACACCGGUGGCGAAGGCGGCAUCCUGGACCGGUAUUGACGCUGAGGCGCGAAAGCUAGGGGAGCAAACGGG